AGGCCUAACACAUGCAAGUCGAGCGCGUGUAGCAAUACACGAGCGGCAGACGGGAGAGUAACACGUGGGAACGUACCCUUCGGUUCGGAAUAACCCAGGGAAACUUGGAUUAAUACCGGAUACGUCCGAAAGGAGAAAGAUUCAUCGCCGAAGGAUCGGCCCGCGGCUGAUUAGCUAGUUGGUGAGGUAACGGCUCACCAAGGCGACGAUCGGUAGCUGGUCUGAGAGGAUGAUCAGCCUCACUGGGACUGAGACACGGCCCAG
RNAcentral lists this ribosomal RNA (264 nucleotides) under uncultured bacterium. RNAcentral's name for it is "partial 16S ribosomal RNA". It matches the Rfam family "Bacterial small subunit ribosomal RNA", at positions 46 to 334 of the family's 1533-position model. The record is from RNAcentral.